UCAAGCGUGGGCAAAGAGAAGAUGGAUAAGCGGAACAGAGAGGUGAACAGAGCUGUGUCUCCAGCCUCCAGUGGCGUUUUUAAAAAUAGUGACCAUUCCAAACAUCCUCCUAAAGGCUUCAGUUAUGAUCCUGGACCAAAAGAUCGAAGAUCCAUCACAUUGCUGCUGAACUGCUGCGUAGUCUGGCUAAAAUAAAUCUGGGGUCUUCCUCAAUGCUAUGCAAGUCCCCGUGGA
Cyprinodon variegatus (sheepshead minnow) is the source of this 234-nucleotide long non-coding RNA. RefSeq lists it as uncharacterized. The record is from RefSeq and is a predicted model, not a curated record. The transcript is spliced from 2 exons. Lineage: Eukaryota; Metazoa; Chordata; Actinopteri; Cyprinodontiformes; Cyprinodontidae.